UCCCCGCAGCCUCCCUGCGGUGCCAGCCUCUGGCUUUUGUUUCGGGAGUCUUUGGAAGGCAGUGCAAAGGAAGGCGUUUGUCCAGCCCACCGGCCUCGUCCUCCACUGCUGGCACGGAGAGCAUUAUCUGUGCGAGUGCUCAUCACCAGCCUGGAAGCGGUCCCUGGGACUGGGUAACCAUGGCAAAAACAGAGCAGUUCUUCUGCAUCUCAGUGGAGCACUGACCAAGGCAGCACAGGCAAAGCUGCUCUGGGCUGGCGGUGAGGUGGUAAUGCUCCUGUGGCGCUGUUUGUGCAUGGGCUUCUCUUCACCUUUGGCUCCAUUUAAUCUCUUGUUUGGCAAAACAACACAGUGCUCCUCUCCUUUGUUACUUGAACUAGCUCCAAAGACUGCUAAAGGCCAUGGGAGAGCCAGGGAAGUGUCCUGGCAGCCCUUGCGCUCUGGCUGCCCGGAGGCCGUGCUGCAGGUACUCCACAGAAAGGCUCGGUGCCUCUAGCUGUGCUCCUCAGCCCCUGGGAGCAGGGCAGGGGGCAGCACACCUUCUCUGCACCCAUCUCCAGAGGCUCUGUGGCACCGUGGUAUAUCCCAGUGACACCACCGAUGGGGCAAGGCCAGCCCUUCGAAGCUGGGGAGCCUAACAAGCUCCAGAAAACAUCCCCACUCUUUCCCACGGGGAGCAGCAAAUCUGACUGGCAGACAAAAGCAAAUGUGGUUGCAUCUAAAUACUGGCAAUUUCAACAGAGUGGGACAGGAUUCAUGAAAAUCUUUUUCGAGAAUCAUUACAGGCUGCACAGGGGUAACAGGAAAUAAAGCUUGUCUUUAGGGUUCUGCUACUGUAGGAGAAUGGGAACCAAAAUUUCACUUGCCCCAAACCAGUUCAUACUUGAAUUAUGGCAACUCAGACUUCUCCUCAUAAACAUGCCAGAACGAGUGUGAUGAUUCAGCUUACUGUGGUUUUAUGUCCUAAAGUACUGGUCCCUUGCCACUACUGCUUUUGAGUUUGAAAUUGCUUGUGCUAUUAUCUCGAUUAUUUUUUUAAUUAUUUAUAUAGGCAGUGUGGGAAAAGCAAUGAGAGUGAUUACACUUGAAAUGAGAACUCUGUUUGAAUGAGCUUUUGAGUCACACUGUGCCUAAACUACACCAUCAGGCAAAUAGAGGAAAACUCCCAAAUGGCACAAAGCUUUGGCCUCUACCUCCAGAACCACGUCAGCCCUGGGAUCUCCAACCAAAAUGUGGAGGAGUGUGGCAGGGCUCCAGUGCUCCCAACUGCCUCCUUUCUGCUUCAGAAGAUUCGUUUUCUUCCCCUGCAGUCAUAGGACCAAGGGUCUGGCUGAAGAGCAACUGGAGUGAAAAAAAUGCUGUAUGUGAAAAUUUAUACAUUUGUUCUCAAAGAUGACAAUGCAGCAAGUGCUUUUAUCCCAAUAAUCUGGGUUUGUUAGGAUGCCCUGAAUGUCUUUGGAGCCCAGCAGAUUCUCUACUGAUCCUGCCCUGCUUCCAGAAGUAUUACCCUUCUUCCCUGAUAAAGUUGCUUUGGCACUGACUUCCACGAACCUUAGACCGGAGAUCAGAAAUUACUUUCCAGAUCAUAACUGGAUAGUGAAGCUUUAAAAGAGAACCAAGUCCACUAGAAUUUCAGUCUGGGCCCUGAUUCCCCAUAUUCAUUCUAAGCCUACAUCUACCUGCUCUUCCCUUUUCCUAUAUCCAUUUUCUAAGAAGAUGCAGCAGCUGGGUAUUACAGUGGCAGAGAAAGACACUUGGUUUCUUCUACCUUUCCUGACAAUAGAAGGAUAAGAAAAACUCAACAACACAGAAUUAUGGCUAAAACAGAUGCCCAGAACUGAAAUGCUUUUUCUCCCAGCAGGGCUAAAGCUCAGCACAACAGUAAAAUUGCAAGAGCAUAGCCUGGUUCAGCUUUUAAGCACUGCAGAGGGCUAUAAGGAUACCUAAGCUGCACAUAAUCUUGCCAAGUAGGAAACAGCUGACUUUAAGUUCUGCAGACGCUGGAUGUAGCGCAUGGCUGCGCAUGGAUUUUGGAGACAUCCAUGGUGGGAAAAUACUGCAUCUCUCAUGCAGUCUCCGGUUACCAAGGCAAACGCAGUUAAGGCACAAAAAGCAAAAUGAGUAAGUUGUUCUUCACAAGCAACCACUGCAUUCUCAGCUGCACUUCAUUUGCUAGAAACCUCCUCCACUUAUCACUGCGCUUUCAGAUGUCCACAGACCUACAGCCUUACCAACAUCUCCAGCUGCUGGACUUCCAGGCCUUGGGAUGCCAUAUGUUGGGUCUUGUGACAGAAGAGUUCAUAAUCCACUGGAGCAAGGCUGACCCGUGAGCAGACAUGGGUGCACACAGGGAAGGGCUGCUCCAGCAGACAUGGGUGCACACAGGGAAGGGCUGCUCCAGCAGACAUGGAUGCACACCUGGAAGGGCUGCUCCAGCAGUGCUCCCGUGAGCACAGGGCUGUGGUAGGGAAGCAGCUAGGCAGGGCUGUGAUUGCCCUUCUUUCCCAGCAGCUUCUGUACCCAUCUCAGCUGGCUGAUGGUUGCAGGCCAGAGUAACAUGCGUCUGGUGUGUGGGAUACUGGAAAAAUGCUGCAACACCUCCCUUUUAUGGGGUCUGCAUAUGGAUCUAGAGGCUUAACAUUAGGUGGCCAAGUUUAUGAUGUGUUGUAUAGGUGCAGUGUUAGGUAACUGGAGAGGAAAUUACAGUGCAAGUAAUGCACUGUAUUAAUUUAGGACUAGUUAACAGCAACUAAUUAAAAACAAUUAUAAGGACAAGCAGACAUGAGCUAUAGCAUUUAUAUAGAUGCAAAGACAUCUGCCUCAGUGCAGAGGUUACCCUUUUAAAAGCAGGAAGAAUCCAAGUUUAUGAAAGACGGGGUGGGGAGUGUUAGCGUUAUUUGUAAUGGUAUUGUCAGUGUUUCUUGUCUCAAGUUCUUAGAAAGAAAAUCCUUCAGACAAUGGAGGAGAUGGAAGAGUCAACUCUAAGCAAUUCCAGGUACCUUAAAGCUAACAGGAAGGGCCCCUCAGCGCUGCUUUCCGGCCUUUGGUGGCCCAGGGUUGGAAUUAAACGUGCAGAAGUUUACCCUAAACAAACUUGCUGCAGGGCUUACACAUGCACAG
Molecule: long non-coding RNA, 3120 nt
Organism: Manacus vitellinus (golden-collared manakin)
Lineage: Eukaryota; Metazoa; Chordata; Aves; Passeriformes; Pipridae
Exons: 3
Source: RefSeq, a predicted model, not a curated record